GACGAACGCUGGCGGCGUGCCUAAUACAUGCAAGUAGAACGCACAGUUUAUACCGUAGCUUGCUACACCAUAGACUGUGAGUUGCGAACGGGUGAGUAACGCGUAGGUAACCUGCCUGGUAGCGGGGGAUAACUAUUGGAAACGAUAGCUAAUACCACAUAAUAUUAAUUAUUGCAUGAUAAUUAAUUGAAAGGUGCAAUUGCACCACUACCAGAUGGACCUGCGUUGUAUUAGCUAGUAGGUGAGGUAACGGCUCACCUAGGCGACGAUACAUAGCCGACCUGAGAGGGUGAUCGGCCACACUGGGACUGAGACACGGCCCAGACUCCUACGGGAGGCAGCAGUAGGGAAUCUUCGGCAAUGGACGAAAGUCUGACCGAGCAACGCCGCGUGAGUGAAGAAGGGUUUCGGAUCGUAAAGCUCUGUUGUAAGAGAAGAACGGGUGUGAGAGUGGAAAGUUCACACUGUGACGGUAUCUUACCAGAAAGGGACGGCUAACUACGUG
RNAcentral lists this ribosomal RNA (505 nucleotides) under uncultured bacterium. Its description in RNAcentral is "partial 16S ribosomal RNA". It matches the Rfam family "Bacterial small subunit ribosomal RNA", at positions 28 to 507 of the family's 1533-position model. The record is from RNAcentral.